RNAcentral lists this ribosomal RNA (91 nucleotides) under Bacillota bacterium. Lineage: Bacteria; Bacillati; Bacillota. The record is from RNAcentral.
ACCCGUUCCCAUCCCGAACACGGAAGUUAAGCCCUCCAGCGCCGAUGGUACUAGGCUGGGGACAGCCUGGGAGAGUAGGUCACUGCCGGAU